Molecule: ribosomal RNA, 506 nt
Filed under: uncultured bacterium
Lineage: Bacteria
Description: partial 16S ribosomal RNA
Rfam family: Bacterial small subunit ribosomal RNA
Source: RNAcentral
GAUGAACGCUAGCGGCAGGCCUAACACAUGCAAGUCGAGGGGCAGCACAUAGAGUGGUUUACUACUUUUGGUGGCGACCGGCGGACGGGUGCGUAACGCGUAUGCAACCUGCCUCCAACAGGGGGAUAACGGAGAGAAAUUUCCACUAAUACCCCAUAAUAUCAGAAUCGGCAUCGGUUUUGGUUGAAAACUCCGGUGGUUGGAGAUGGGCAUGCGUUGUAUUAGAUAGUUGGUGAGGUAACGGCUCACCAAGUCAACGAUACAUAGGGGGACUGAGAGGUUAGCCCCCCACACUGGUACUGAGACACGGACCAGACUCCUACGGGAGGCGGCAGUGAGGAAUAUUGGUCAAUGGGGGCAACCCUGAACCAGCCAUGCCGCGUGCAGGAAGACGGCUCUAUGAGUUGUAAACUGCUUUUACAAGGGGAUAAAUCGGUGUACGUGUACACCGUUGAAGGUACCUUGGGAAUAAGGAUCGGCUAACUCCGUGCCAGCCGCCGCGGUAA